This 253-nucleotide ribosomal RNA is filed under the name uncultured bacterium. RNAcentral describes it as "partial 16S ribosomal RNA". It matches the Rfam family "Bacterial small subunit ribosomal RNA", at positions 524 to 776 of the family's 1533-position model. The record is from RNAcentral.
UACGUAGGGCGCAAGCGUUGUCCGGAAUUAUUGGGCGUAAAGAGCUCGUAGGCGGCCAGUUGCGUCUGCUGUGAAAUCCCGGGGCUCAACCCCGGGCGUGCAGUGGAUACGGGCUGGCUAGAGGCAGGGAGAGGGAUGUGGAAUUCCAGGUGUAGUGGUGAAAUGCGUAGAUAUCUGGAGGAACACCGAUGGCGAAGGCAGCUCGCUGGGACGGUACUGACGCUGAGACGCGAAAGCGUGGGGAGCAAACAGG